GCGCUCAUAGCUCAGCUGGAUAGAGCACUUGGCUACGAACUAAGGGGUCGUGAGUUCGAAUAUCUCUGAGCGCACCA
This 77-nucleotide transfer RNA is filed under the name Acinetobacter baumannii. RNAcentral's name for it is "tRNA-Arg". It matches the Rfam family "tRNA". From Rfam's summary of the family: Transfer RNA (tRNA) molecules are approximately 80 nucleotides in length. The record is from RNAcentral. Lineage: Bacteria; Pseudomonadati; Pseudomonadota; Gammaproteobacteria; Moraxellales; Moraxellaceae.